GAGUUUGAUCCUGGCUCAGAUUGAACGCUGGCGGCAGGCCUAACACAUGCAAGUCGAACGGUAACAGAAAGCAGCUUGCUGCUUUGCUGACGAGUGGCGGACGGGUGAGUAAUGUCUGGGAAACUGCCUGAUGGAGGGGGAUAACUACUGGAAACGGUAGCUAAUACCGCAUAACGUCGCAAGACCAAAGAGGGGGACCUUCGGGCCUCUUGCCAUCGGAUGUGCCCAGAUGGGAUUAGCUUGUUGGUGGGGUAACGGCUCACCAAGGCGACGAUCUCUAGCUGGUCUGAGAGGAUGACCAGCCACACUGGAACUGAGACACGGUCCAGACUCCUACGGGAGGCAGCAGUGGGGAAUAUUGCACAAUGGGCGCAAGCCUGAUGCAGCCAUGCCGCGUGUAUGAAGAAGGCCUUCGGGUUGUAAAGUACUUUCAGCGGGGAGGAAGGGAGUAAAGUUAAUACCUUUGCUCAUUGACGUUAC
RNAcentral lists this ribosomal RNA (480 nucleotides) under uncultured bacterium. RNAcentral's name for it is "bacterial SSU rRNA". It matches the Rfam family "Bacterial small subunit ribosomal RNA", at positions 9 to 478 of the family's 1533-position model. The record is from RNAcentral.